This 306-nucleotide ribosomal RNA is filed under the name Triticum aestivum (bread wheat). RNAcentral describes it as "partial small subunit ribosomal RNA". The record is from RNAcentral. Lineage: Eukaryota; Viridiplantae; Streptophyta; Magnoliopsida; Poales; Poaceae.
GGUGAAUUCUUUGACGGGAAAGAACCGAACCGUGAAGCCACCGCGGAAGAGUUGAAAAUGCUGCAAUACAACGCUCAAGCUUGUGAUAUCCUCUUCAAUGGAUUGUGCCCCGAAGAAUUCAACAAAAUCAGCCGCCUUGAGAAUGCAAAGGAAAUUUGGGAUACUUUGAUUGAUAUGCACGAAGGUACCGACUCCGUCAAGGAAUCCAAAUUGGAUGUGCUUCAAAGUCAACUUGACAAGUUCAAAACGAAGGAUGGUGAAGGUGUUGCUGAAAUGUACUCUAGGCUUGCUCUUAUCACAAAUUAG